Molecule: ribosomal RNA, 468 nt
Filed under: Cardiocephaloides ovicorpus
Lineage: Eukaryota; Metazoa; Platyhelminthes; Trematoda; Diplostomida; Strigeidae
Description: partial large subunit ribosomal RNA
Source: RNAcentral
CUUAGCUGCGGGUCCUUGCUCCUUCGGGGGUAGGGAUGUGCGUUGCGCUUGUCAAGUGCUGUGCGCUCUGGGGGUUGCCGGGCUGGCUUGCCAGUGCACUUUCUCGGAGUGGUCACCACGACCGGCGUUGUUGUCUUGCUGCUGUAGUCGAACCGGUCAGGUUUGGUCCUUGUGGCUGAGCUUGAUCGGGAUGGCAGGUAGCUCAUUGGCUGACUUGUUCAGUCUUUGGGUGUAAUCAGCCGGCUGCAGUGGUUCUGUGCAAUGCGUCGGAGACGGCGGCUUUAGGUAUGUGCUUGUGUGCCGUGGGCUGGCAGUAUCGGGUUUGACUGGCGUGUUUACCUGUUUCGGCAGGUCCGUUGGUAGCUCGGUGCUGUUCGGUCUGCGGUUGCACUUGUGAUACCGCUCAUGGGCCUAUAGUCUGUGGUGUAGCAGCAAACGAUCCACCUGACCCGUCUUGAAACACGGACC